RNAcentral lists this long non-coding RNA (484 nucleotides) under Amborella trichopoda. RNAcentral describes it as "long non-coding RNA (ATRI_LNC005068)". The record is from RNAcentral. Lineage: Eukaryota; Viridiplantae; Streptophyta; Magnoliopsida; Amborellales; Amborellaceae.
AUAAGGAGUAAAAAGAAAAAAAAAAUAAAAACUAAAGGGACACAAUAAAAAUAAGAAAGUGUUAGAGAGAGCGAGAACAUUGGGGGGUAUGCAAAAGACAAAAUCCAAAAAGGGUUUUCCUCACCAUGGUAGAGAGAGAGAGAGAGAGAAUAAGGAGAGGGCAGCAACUUCCAUCCACCAGCGAUCUCCAUGAGCAAUCAUCUCCACUAGCGCGCAACUUCCACCACUGAGUACCCUUCAUCUACAGAAACAGUUGGUGUGCUCUGUGAUUGCAUCUCUAAGCCAUUGGAAGGCCAUCUUUGGGGGUUUUUUUGAGGUGGGAAAGAGACCACUUUUUAGAGCUUGUGAGGUAACUGUGUAUCUUCUCCAAGUUAUUGUUAUUCUCUUAUUUGAUUGUAAUCCUGAAGUUUUGGGCAAAUAAACUUAAGAAGAAACUAUAUUGUAACCCUCAUUUGAUUUAGUGGAUUCCUCUCUCAGAUUUGCC